RNAcentral lists this ribosomal RNA (253 nucleotides) under uncultured bacterium. Its description in RNAcentral is "partial 16S ribosomal RNA". It matches the Rfam family "Bacterial small subunit ribosomal RNA", at positions 524 to 776 of the family's 1533-position model. The record is from RNAcentral.
UACGGAGGGGACUAGCGUUGUUCGGAAUUACUGGGCGUAAAGCGCACGUAGGCGGAUUUGUAAGUCAGGGGUGAAAUCCCAGAGCUCAACUCUGGAACUGCCUUUGAUACUGGGUGUCUUGAGUAUGGAAGAGGUGAGUGGAAUUCCGAGUGUAGAGGUGAAAUUCGUAGAUAUUCGGAGGAACACCAGUGGCGAAGGCGGCUCACUGGUCCAUUACUGACGCUGAGGUGCGAAAGCGUGGGGAGCAAACAGG